UAAAAUAUUCAAGGAAUGAGUCUUGGCUCCAAAUUCCUUAUUAUGAUUAUUUAUCUCUAAUGAGAAUGUUUCACUUGGUUAUAAUAUUUCACUUUCCUAGAAAAUACAAAAAUAUGCAAAAAUGAAUGCAACGAAUUAGAAAGUUCAAAGUAAUACCUCCAGUACUAGAUUGUGUAUCAGAGCUUACGCGAGACUUAGUAUCCAUCACAUCCCCACUUAAGGGACCUUCACCAAUAGAAGGAAAAGAAUAUGAAUACAAAUCUUUUCUUCUCUUCGUGUGAACCACCAAAUUAGGUCCUUUACUCUCUUCAAAUGGUUCUUGAGUAACAUCAACAAUUUUAACUCUUUGAAUGGUUUGAAUAGAUCACAAAGUUUCAGUCACUUUGCAAUUUUCUUUCCUUUUGUAGCUCUUGGAGCCCUCGCAAUAGCACCAUUAUUUUCUCUUUUCUGGCUUCAAUAUUCCCAUCUACAUUCGGGACAAAAGGCAUGCUCAGUUAACCAAUUUUUUGGGUCUUCACAUGAUUCAAAAAGAAUCUCUGUUGUUACACUGUUAUCCCCAUAUGGCCAAGCUUCAUUACAUGGCUUUAUCGCAUCAAGUUGAUCCUUACUAAGGGUAUUGAAGUCCGCAUCAUCCCAACCGUUAAGACUCUUUUCCAUUAAACAUAAUCACCAUAUGUUUCUCAAGCUGUGAACUUGCUCAUAUCUAAUUUGCAGACUUGUCUGCAGCUUUUUCAAUUGAGCCUUUUCUACUGCAUUUAACGAGCGAGGAUCCUAGGUGCUUCUUUUAGUGGAAGGUUUAACCUACGCCAAAGGAAAAGAGAAUUCCACAUAAGUUUGCUUAAUUUUAAUAUAUUUAUCCCUCGCCAAAUGCAAGUUGUUGAUGGUGUUAUCUACAACAGCUUUUCCUCCCCUUCAAGUGGCAAACAUUACAAACCCUUUUUGCUUAUUCUCACUAUUAGAGGUUACAAUGUAUAUUCUUCUAAACACGUUUACAGAAGCUUCUUCUCCAUGUAGCUGACAAUCAAAUAAAUACAUCAUUAAAGUCCACCAUGAGGAACCCAUUAAUUGCAAAAAGCCACUCCAAAUGCAUUUAAAAAUUCUAUAAAAAAAUGCAAAGGUAGAUGAAACCCUGCUUAAAAAACAUAUAAGGGAAAAAGAAACCAAUGAUUUUCUCUCUUACAACUGUUCAUAUCACUCAAUUGAUGCUUUUCCUUCAAAAUAUUGAAUCUGUAUCUAAAAUUAUUAAAACACGCAAUUCAUCUAUAUUCCAACAAUUUCCACAUCUCCUCUACGUCGAACACUCAAAUUCCUCACUUCCAGUAGGAACACUUAGCAAUCUGGGGGCAAUGUUUUGCUAACAAUAAAAAGGAAAAUUAAAGAAUAAUAUAAGGAAAUUAAAGUAAUUGAAACCUACCAAACUGAACUGCACCCUAAACACAAACAAGAAAAGAAUUGCAGAAAUCCAAACACUUAGAAA
This 1477-nucleotide long non-coding RNA is filed under the name Gossypium barbadense (sea-island cotton). Its description in RNAcentral is "long non-coding RNA (GBAR_LNC016333)". The record is from RNAcentral. Lineage: Eukaryota; Viridiplantae; Streptophyta; Magnoliopsida; Malvales; Malvaceae.